This 501-nucleotide ribosomal RNA is filed under the name uncultured bacterium. RNAcentral's name for it is "partial 16S ribosomal RNA". It matches the Rfam family "Bacterial small subunit ribosomal RNA", at positions 30 to 523 of the family's 1533-position model. The record is from RNAcentral.
AUUGAACGCUGGCGGCAGGCUUAACACAUGCAAGUCGAGCGGAGAUGAGGUGCUUGCACCUUAUCUUAGCGGCGGACGGGUGAGUAAUGCUUAGGAAUCUGCCUAUUAGUGGGGGACAACAUUCCGAAAGGAAUGCUAAUACCGCAUACGUCCUACGGGAGAAAGCAGGGGAUCUUCGGACCUUGCGCUAAUAGAUGAGCCUAAGUCGGAUUAGCUAGUUGGUGGGGUAAAGGCCUACCAAGGCGACGAUCUGUAGCGGGUCUGAGAGGAUGGUCCGCCACACUGGGAAGGAGACACGGCCCGGACUCCUACGGGAGGCAGCAGUGGGGAAUAUUGGACAAUGGGGGAAACCCUGAUCCAGCCAUGCCGCGUGUGUGAAGAAGGCCUUAUGGUUGUAAAGCACUUUAAGCGAGGAGGAGGCUACUGAGACUAAUACUCUUGGAUAGUGGACGUUACUCGCAGAAUAAGCACCGGCUAACUCUGUGCCAGCCGCCGCCGUAA